UUCAACCUAUUAUGCUUCAGGCUUGAGAAGAAAGUGAACACCUUAAUCAACAACAAUUCAAAUAUGUUUUUGGUGAAAAAUACAUAAUUCUAUUUAGUAUGUGGAACACAUUCUUUGAACUCAUGUUAGAUAGUACUUUUAUCUCUUUAAUAUCAAAUAAGCAACAAUGAAAACUCAAUACAAAAAUAGAACACCCAAACAUGAAAUUUCAGGAAUGCAUAUUUUAUCAAACACAUUCCAAGGUGAAUAUUUUUUUAACUGCUCCAUGAAGUUGACAAAAAAAAUAACAUAAUUAGCAUCUAGGAUUAUAAUUUAAAUUUUCCAAGCAGCUCAGUAAUAUCCUGGAAAUUUUAUUUAAAUUUUGCAGACAGCUCAGUAAUAUGUUCAGAAUUUUAUUUUUGUGUCCUCUGUAUAACCGAGCAGCAGGAUCCAGGCUCAGUGAGGAUUGGUGCUUCCUGUGGACCACGCACUGGGACCUCAUGAGAAAGAUGUUUUCACCACAAUUGGCAUGAUAACAAAGAGAUUCAUUCUGAUUUCGAAUGAUCAAACCAACUGUGGGUUUCAUCAACAUGAUACACUUCAAUAACAGUCUUUUCCAGGAUAUCGUGAAAUGCUUUGAAUAACAUCAGGCAAU
This is a long non-coding RNA of Chiroxiphia lanceolata (lance-tailed manakin), 634 nucleotides long. RefSeq lists it as uncharacterized. The transcript is spliced from 3 exons. NCBI's taxonomy places the organism in Eukaryota, Metazoa, Chordata, Aves, Passeriformes, Pipridae. The record is from RefSeq and is a predicted model, not a curated record.